GAUGAACGCUGGCGGCGUGCCUAAUACAUGCAAGUCGAGCGAACAGACGAGGAGCUUGCUCCUCUGACGUUAGCGGCGGACGGGUGAGUAACACGUGGAUAACCUACCUAUAAGACUGGGAUAACUUCGGGAAACCGGAGCUAAUACCGGAUAAUAUAUUGAACCGCAUGGUUCAAUAGUGAAAGACGGUUUUGCUGUCACUUAUAGAUGGAUCCGCGCCGCAUUAGCUAGUUGGUAAGGUAACGGCUUACCAAGGCAACGAUGCGUAGCCGACCUGAGAGGGUGAUCGGCCACACUGGAACUGAGACACGGUCCAGACUCCUACGGGAGGCAGCAGUAGGGAAUCUUCCGCAAUGGGCGAAAGCCUGACCGAGCCACGCCGCGUGAGUGAAGAAGGUCUUCGGGUCGUAAAACUCUUUUAUUAGGGAAGAACAAAUGUGUAAGUAACUCUGCACGUCUUGACGGUACCUAAUCAGAAAGCCCCGGCUAACUUCGUG
Molecule: ribosomal RNA, 497 nt
Filed under: uncultured bacterium
Lineage: Bacteria
Description: partial 16S ribosomal RNA
Rfam family: Bacterial small subunit ribosomal RNA
Source: RNAcentral